This 72-nucleotide ribosomal RNA is filed under the name Candidatus Jacksonbacteria bacterium RIFCSPLOWO2_01_FULL_44_13. RNAcentral's name for it is "partial 16S ribosomal RNA". It matches the Rfam family "Bacterial small subunit ribosomal RNA", at positions 1 to 67 of the family's 1533-position model. The record is from RNAcentral. Lineage: Bacteria; Candidatus Jacksoniibacteriota.
CAAUCUUUUAUGAGAGUUUGAUCCUGGCUCAGGAUGAACGCUGGCGGCAUGUCUUAGGCAUGCAAGUCGAAC